RNAcentral lists this small nucleolar RNA (207 nucleotides) under Mastacembelus armatus (zig-zag eel). RNAcentral's name for it is "Small nucleolar RNA SNORD97 (ENSMAMG00000022918.2)". It matches the Rfam family "Small nucleolar RNA SNORD97". Lineage: Eukaryota; Metazoa; Chordata; Actinopteri; Synbranchiformes; Mastacembelidae. The record is from Rfam by way of RNAcentral.
AUGCCCAGUGAUUAUAAAAAGACGCGUUAUUCUGAGGAACAAAACCAGCUUACCAGCCUUUCAUCUGACUUUUACUCUCUUAACUCCUCGUUCUUUCCUGUCCUCCUCUCUCUCUCUCUCUCUUCCUCUCUUCCUCUCCUCCUCUCCUCCUCUCCUCUUCAGGCUGGAUGCUGGUCCGCUGACUGCGAUUAUGAGAUAUGAGGGCAU